GACGGUAGAAAGAGUAUUGGAUAUAGCAAAUGUGCUUUUUCAUCUUGAACAGGUGGAGCAUCCUCAGAGAUCUAAAAAGGCUGUAUGGCAUAAACUACUCUCUAAGCA
This 108-nucleotide small RNA is filed under the name Pan troglodytes (chimpanzee). RNAcentral's name for it is "processed transcript". The record is from RNAcentral. Lineage: Eukaryota; Metazoa; Chordata; Mammalia; Primates; Hominidae.